GACGAACCGUGCGAACGUUAUUCGGAAUCAUUGGGCUUAAAGGGCGCGUAGACGGGCCGGCGCAUCGGACGCUGAAAGCCCCCGGCUUAACCGGGGAACAGGCGCCGAGAUGGCCGGCCUCGAGUGGAGGAGAGGGACCUGGAACUGCCGGUGGAGCGGUGAAAUGCGUUGAGAUCGGCAGGAACGCCGACGGCGAAAGCAGGGUCCUGGACUCCCACUGACGUUGAGGCGCGAAAGCCAGGGUAGCGAACGGG
This 254-nucleotide ribosomal RNA is filed under the name uncultured bacterium. Its description in RNAcentral is "partial 16S ribosomal RNA". It matches the Rfam family "Bacterial small subunit ribosomal RNA", at positions 524 to 776 of the family's 1533-position model. The record is from RNAcentral.